Phrynosoma platyrhinos (Desert horned lizard) is the source of this 72-nucleotide non-coding RNA. The record is from the annotation of a GenBank genome assembly. Lineage: Eukaryota; Metazoa; Chordata; Lepidosauria; Squamata; Phrynosomatidae.
GACUGUGUAGCUUAGUGGUCUGAGUGUUAGGCUAGGACUCUGGAAGCCAGGGUUCAAAUCCCAGCUUGCCCA